UUCUUCUACUUUUGAUCGCACUGUUAUUCUUCCCCUUCUCCUCCUCCUCUUACGACUCAUCAUUCUCAUCCACUUCGGUAAUCCAGUUGUUUUUUGCGAUAAACUCGUGUAUGUAUAUAAGUUGCCACACCCGGCAUUAUUGUGAUCAGUCUCCUUCUAGUUAUCAUUUGGAAAACAGUUUUGUUUCACACAUCGAGCUGAGAUAUGGCUCGUCACCAGUUUAUUCUUAUUGUGGCAGUCGCACUGAUAUGUACAGUUAUGGCCGCCCCCGAGCCUGAACCUUUGCCUUACGGUGGAGGCGGUGGCCACGACCACGGACAUGGGGGCGGUAGCCAUGGGGGCGGUAGCCAUGGAGGCGGUAGCCAUGGAGGCGGUAGUCAUGGAAGCCACGGAGGUGAUUUCGGAGGCGGUAGUCAUGGAAGCCACGGAGGAUACGGAGGCAGUCAAGGCGGUCACGGAGGCCACGGAAGUCAAGGAGGCGGUUUCGGAGGCAGCCAUGGAAGUCAUGGAGGUGGUCACGGAAGUCAUGGAGGCAGUCACGGAAGUCACGGAGGUAGUCACGGAAGUCAUGGAGGUUUCGGAGGUAGUCACGGAGGAUACCAAAAGCAUGGCUACUAGACAAAAUUAGCCUAGGCCUACUCAUAAUUAUCAGAAUCACCAUCGACCAAUCAUUUACUAUAAGUUGUACUACUCAUACGUUGAGUGAACUGAACCGUAGACAUAGACACACUUUUGUAAAUUAAAGAUGUUUUUUAUUUCAAUGUAA
This 766-nucleotide unclassified non-coding RNA is filed under the name Nilaparvata lugens (brown planthopper). RNAcentral's name for it is "keratin, type I cytoskeletal 10, transcript variant X2". Lineage: Eukaryota; Metazoa; Arthropoda; Insecta; Hemiptera; Delphacidae. The record is from RNAcentral.